RNAcentral lists this long non-coding RNA (3969 nucleotides) under Mus musculus (house mouse). RNAcentral's name for it is "long non-coding RNA chr15:80937111-80941080". Lineage: Eukaryota; Metazoa; Chordata; Mammalia; Rodentia; Muridae. The record is from RNAcentral.
UUUUUUUUUUUUAGUUUAAUUUUAUUUUAUUUUUACCCUCUCUGCCUUAGAAGGUCAUGAUUUUCCCAAAUGCAAGUCACAUCAUGUUGCUAUUUCUGUGAACAGGGUAUUUAUUGCACAUAAAGGAAAGGUUUUGAAAGAAUUGAGACCGGUGUUUAAAAAAGAAGAAAACCUCUGAAAUCACGUUGUAGUUUUUGAGAACUGUUGUAGUUAAACUUGGAAGUCUAUGGUCUUUUCAUGUUUCAUGUUUGUUUUCAACGACCCCACCUCCACUCCUAUUUCCAGUUUCUAAAGAAGCAUCUUAGUGGAUGCCCAGGGGCCUGUCCACCAUCCUCAGUGCUCCCCUCCCCCAGGAAAGUGCUCUCUAGAUUCCUUCAGCUUCAUUCAGGAAGACACUCACUCCUCUUGUUGCCUUGGGAUGUAUUAUUAUGCAAAUGUGAAUUUAACUAGAGGUUGUUGGAUUUGUUUUUAUGUUUUGUUUUGUUUUUUUUUAAAAAAAAAAAGUCUAAAUGUGGUCAUCCUUACUCUAUUUUAUAUCCUGAAUUUGUAACUAUGCAUUUUCUGAAAAGGGGGAAGGCAGGGAAAGAAGCCGAUUUGCAUCCUUAUGUACUCCAGUUUCUGUGUCCAUGGAAUCCCCAUGUCUGGGAAGGGAAGAAGAGGAGAGGAGAAGGCUCGCUAGGUCAGCAUAGUGAGGGCGAGAGGGACCUCCCAGACCCCAUCCUCUGGAAGGUCUGAUUGCCAAGCAAAUUUGGGGGAGAGGGGGGUCUGCCAUGUCUGUCCAUCAUUACGGUGCAGGAUUCUUGAUACUGGCCAUGCAGUGUUAACCCAGGGCAGCCAUGGAAGCUCACAGGCUCCAGUAUUCUCUGAACUCUGAACCCUUUCAAGCUCAGGAAACCAUGCCACACUCUGCUGACCUGAGAGUUCAUCUUCUUCUUUUACGUUCUUUGUUUUCAGUCAUUGUGUAGGGUACCACUCCUAAUUAUGAGCCGAGAAAGAGGGCUGUUCCCUUCCAUGUCUGCUCCCUGACCUCUGUUUCCCUCACCUGUACUGAGCUGGUGGCACAGCGAGUGAGUUGUGGGACACUGGAAUGCUUUCAUACUUUCUCUUUGUUGUUACAACAAUUCCUGUGUAGAGUUGGACUAUGCUAAGUCAUAGCGCCUGCAUUGCUCUGGUCUAGGCAUUAUUACAGCACGUAGUAUAGAAAGCCAGAGAUGUUCAGCCUGUCUUCAGUGUUUCCCACACAGCAAUCUCUGUUAUGUUCACAGUACUGUAAUGAGUGACAGACGUGAUCACAGUCUCCUUGUGUCUGUGCAGGGCUGCACAGGCAUGAUUGUAUCAGGGUUCCAAUCUGUUCGAUUGCCUUUAAACAAAAGCAAAACAACAAGAAAAUCCUGAUGUUUCAAGUGUCUGACACAAAAUGAUACCUCAAGGUAUAUCUCCCCUGCAAUGUAAACCCUUCACUCCUCCUUUCUUGACAUCAGUGAGCUAUUCUUUAUACAAUAAGGAUGUGUAAAUAACCAGAUAAGUCUUUGAAACAUUUUCUUUGCUGUGAAAAUAACCCUAAAAUAUGAUAUUUGCAUGUUAAGCCGUCAGAAGUUUCAGAUCUGAAUUCUUGUUGAUGAAGAAAAAGCAAAGCAGACGGGUGGGAUGGCUUUGGGUUUGUGGUUUGCCUAUUCUCUCCUGGUGUCCCUCCCCCGCCACAGCACAGGGCAGCAGACCAGUGACCACACCCUGCCCUAACUAAAUGCCAUCUCUUCCACCACCAAGGCCCCAGGGUGGGCAAUAUCUGAAUUUCUCUCUUCCAUAUAUGAUCCAUACCCUCCAGGGACUUCAAGAAGUUCUUUGCCGUGUGUGUGUGUGUGUGUGUGUGUGUGUGUGUGUGUGUGUGUGUGUUUACAUGUAUGCACUUCUUGCUCUUUAAGUGUGGUCCUUUAAUCCCCAGUGGAGUUUAGUCCCUGAUUUUUUAGUCUGUCCCGUAGCCUUUUUAGCAAUGUUCUGGAAAUGUAUUUCUUACUUAGAAGGAAAUUGAGCUUAGAGCUGACAUCCUUAAAAAUCCUUGUUGGCACAUGCUGCCUGUGAGGGUGCUGACAGCCGCUGCCCUCCUAGACCGUGGGCUCCCUUGAACAAGAGUAGAAGAUUCAUUUUAUCUCAUUUUAACUCAAAUCUAUAUCUGUUAAGAAGCUAUAGUCAAGAGUGCUUUCCUUGAUCUGUUUAAUGACGACUUCCUUUGAGGGAGGAAUCUGGUUGAAAGUGAUGGACAUCCCUUGCCUAUCUUCUGCGUGGCACUGUUCCCUUGGAUUUGACUUCUGUAGUUUGUCUGGAGGUCCUUGCUUAUCAGUGUGCUUUCUCCUAUCGACGGGGUUCUGCCUGCCCUUGUUUCCCUCUCUGAUGUUCCCAAAGGGCUUUGCUGAUGUCUGCACCUCUUUCUUGGGGCAUUCCCCUACUACACCCUUUGCACACACCAGUGACCAAAGUGUAUGCAGUGGUCUCAACACAUGACAUCAAAUGGUGCACGCACCUCUAGUGUGCUCACAGAUGUGCACAAGAUCUGCACCCUUGGCCUUAACUUCAGCACGACUUAAGGUGCAGGAACAUUUUUAACAGGUUUAAAAAUAACCUUUUCUGGGAGGGAAAAUCAAGCAGAUCCAACCGCUCCCCACUAUCUGCUUGCAACUCAUUCUGCAUCCAGCCCAGCCCAGCCCUGUUUUGCGUAACCAAAACCAACAACAGAAAGCAACCUAAGGAGAGGUCUCUGGACUGUUUUAUCUUUCUCCCUUUCGAUGGAGAUACAAAUGCUGCUUUGGGUUCCAUAAUCCUAGGGGGCUAUGUUUACAUAGUGAAACUAAUUCUACCAAAUCAGGAAACAGUGAGUAGUGAGAGACCCUUCAGUAAGAAAUCACUGAGGCUGAACCAGAGGUUUAAAGACCUAGGGAUGGGACAGAGGAGGAGAGAGAUCCUGUUUAACUCACUGCAACACCAGGGUCACUCCCUCCUCUCUGCUCUCCCUGGCCCUCUUUGCCCCUUUAAUCAAAAGGUUCAGAGAAAGACACCAGAAAGAGGCUGAAGUUUUUAAGAGGCAGCUUUCCAACUUUGCACACAAAUGGAAGGUACCAUGAAAAUCCUCUCAUCCGAAACACUCGGCAGAAACAACCUGUCAAAUCAAAAGGACUAAACUGCUGCCCACGUUGAUGCGCUCUGCGAGUUACCUAUAAGUGUUUUGUUUUCUUAUACUUGAAAACACUUUUACAAUAUUAUGUUGGUGGCUUUCUUUUCUCUCUUCUGUUGGGCAAUUGAAACUGCAGAUGACAAAUGUUAAGGCUGUUUGAGGGGAGAAAAGGAAGGCUGUGGCAUUGUCGUUUUAACAUAGAGGUUCAGUCAGACUCCCAUAGGGUAACAUUGUUCAUCUUACUGGUUUAACAUGGACACAGAAACUAGGCACUUUGGUGGUUCACUUGCACGGCAGGCCGACCCCCUUUCUAUAUUUUAUUUUACUUUUUUAGUAUAGUGGUACUUAAAAUCACUGGUUCACUUAAAAAACAAAUGUUAAACUCUACUAAUGUACAAAUAAGCUGAAAAGUUGCAUUUUAUGUGUAUUUUUGCCAUAGCAGGUACUGUAUUUCUCAUGCUGGAUUUCAAAAAAAAAUUAUAUAUAUAUAUAUAUAUAUAUCAAAAACAAACAAAACUGAAGGGUGGUGUUUUCUCAGAUUGUGACAGGUUGAUUGGUAAGGAUUAAAGUCGUAGUCAUUUCAUUAAAACUGAGAGAUGAUGUAAUGCAUAUAUAAGAGUUUUCUGAAGGGUUUUUUGGGCUUUUAAACAGCUUAUUUUGUUUUUUUUUUUAGUUUUUAUUUUAUUUUAUUUUGGAAAGAUAUGAUUGUAUUAUGUGCAACUCAGUUGCUUACAUUAUAACUACAAAAUAUUUUUGAGUUCCUGGAAAAAAAAGAAAAAAGACUAAUAAAUGUGUUUGGCUGC